CCUACGGGCGGCAGCAGUGGGGGAUAUUGCACAAUGGGGGAAACCCUGAUGCAGCGACGCCGCGUGUGGGAAGACGGUCCUCUGGAUUGUAAACCACUGUCCCCAGGGACGAAGAUGACGGUACCUGGGGCGGACGCUCCGGCAAACUACGUGCCAGCAGCCGCGGUAAUACGUAGGGAGCAAGCGUUGUCCGGAAUUACUGGGUGUAAAGGGAGCGUAGGCGGGAUGGCAAGUGGGGUGUUAAAUCUACCGGCUCACUGGUAGUCGCACUCAAAACUGCUAUGCUUGAGUGAAGUAGAGGCAGGCGGAAUGCGUAGUGUAGCGGUGAAAUGCGUAGAUAUUAGGAGGAACACCAGUGGCGAAGGCGGCCUGCUGGGCUUUGACUGACGCUGAGGCUCGAAAGUGUGGGGAGCGAACAGGAUUAGAUACCCUGGUAGUC
Molecule: ribosomal RNA, 439 nt
Filed under: uncultured bacterium
Lineage: Bacteria
Description: partial 16S ribosomal RNA
Rfam family: Bacterial small subunit ribosomal RNA
Source: RNAcentral